AAAAAAAAAAAAAAAAAAGUUUCUUGAAACAUAUAUGACAAUGGGGUUAAGACUGAAGCUCUUGACUGGGAAGUGAAAGUUAAACUUGAAACAGAGAUGCCUGCAAAUUUGGCAUUGUGCUUUAGCAUUUAUUUAAUUUUAAAGUCUGGGGUCCGAUCCACAUGUUGCUCGUUAUGAAUCAUUUAAUUCUUAGAUUAAGUUGGUUGUGGGUAUUGUGGAGGUAUGAUGACUCAAGGCUUGAAGUGAUGGCCAACUUUUGUUCUCAUUAUGACCUUAUAAUUAAAUAAUAGAGCAUAAUCAAAAUGGGGAAGGA
This 313-nucleotide unclassified non-coding RNA is filed under the name Hevea brasiliensis (rubber tree). Lineage: Eukaryota; Viridiplantae; Streptophyta; Magnoliopsida; Malpighiales; Euphorbiaceae. The record is from RNAcentral.